GUGGGGAAUCUUGCGCAAUGGGCGAAAGCCUGACGCAGCCAUGCCGCGUGAAUGAUGAAGGUCUUAGGAUUGUAAAAUUCUUUCACCGGGGACGAUAAUGACGGUACCCGGAGAAGAAGCCCCGGCUAACUUCGUGCCAGCAGCCGCGGUAAUACGAAGGGGGCUAGCGUUGCUCGGAAUUACUGGGCGUAAAGGGCGCGUAGGCGGACAGUUUAGUCAGAGGUGAAAGCCCAGGGCUCAACCUUGGAAUUGCCUUUGAUACGGGCUGUCUUGAGUACGGGAGAGGUGAGUGGAACUCCGAGUGUAGAGGUGAAAUUCGUAGAUAUUCGGAAGAACACCAGUGGCGAAGGCGACUCACUGGCCCGUUACUGACGCUGAGGCGCGAAAGCGUGGGGAGCAAACAGGAUUAGAUACCCGAGUAGUCC
RNAcentral lists this ribosomal RNA (425 nucleotides) under uncultured bacterium. Its description in RNAcentral is "partial 16S ribosomal RNA". It matches the Rfam family "Bacterial small subunit ribosomal RNA", at positions 354 to 796 of the family's 1533-position model. The record is from RNAcentral.